RNAcentral lists this ribosomal RNA (460 nucleotides) under uncultured bacterium. Its description in RNAcentral is "partial 16S ribosomal RNA". It matches the Rfam family "Bacterial small subunit ribosomal RNA", at positions 338 to 795 of the family's 1533-position model. The record is from RNAcentral.
CCUACGGGUGGCAGCAGUGAGGAAUAUUGGUCAAUGGGCGCGAGCCUGAACCAGCCAUGCAGCGUGAAGGAAGACUGCUCUAUGGGUUGUAAACUUCUUUUGUAAAGGCAUAAACUCAGGCACGCGUGCCUUUUUGUAUGUACUUUAUGAAUAAGGAUCGGCUAACUCCGUGCCAGCAGCCGCGGUAAUACGGAGGAUUCGAGCGUUAUCCGGAUUUAUUGGGUUUAAAGGGAGCGUAGGUGGGCUGUUAAGUCAGUGGUGAAAGAUCGGGGCUCAACCUUAAAAUUGCAAUUGAUACUGGCAGUCUUGAGUAUAGUUGAGGUAGGCGGAAUGCGUGGUGUAGCGGUGAAAUGCUUAGAGAUCACGAAGAACUCCGAUUGCGAAGGCAGCUUACUAAGCUGCCACUGACAUUGAUGCACGAAAGUGUGGGUAUCAAACAGGAUUAGAUACCCUUGUAGUC